Zea mays is the source of this 4006-nucleotide RNA transcript. It is a transcript of the gene named pentatricopeptide repeat-containing protein, mitochondrial-like, with no coding region annotated. The record is from RefSeq and is a predicted model, not a curated record. The transcript is spliced from 4 exons. NCBI's taxonomy places the organism in Eukaryota, Viridiplantae, Streptophyta, Magnoliopsida, Poales, Poaceae.
CGACAAAUUUACUGGACCUGCUUAGUACCACAUCCAUUAGGCCCGUUUCCAGUUUCCACCGUCAACAGAGGAUGGCUAUCGCCGCCGUUCGCCGGCUCUUGUGGCGCGAGGUGGGGACUGCGGCCGCCGCCGCGGCCUUGGGGACGGACGGGAAUCUGUUCGCUCGCCUGGUCUCGGAGCCGGAGUGCCGUGUCAAGGCGACCAUGGAGGAGGCUGCCUCCUCCGGGACCCACCGCGACGGCGCCUUCUGGGAGCCCCCCGUCACCGCGCUCCUCCGCGCGUCGUCUCCUACCAAGGCGCACCUCAUAUUGGAAUGGAAACUAGAGAAGCUGCUGAAGGAAGACAUUCAAGAUUGCGAGCCCUACUCCAGGAUAAUUCGUUUCUGUGGUCAGACAAGGAAUGCAACGUUUGCAAUGAGAGUUUUCGAAUGCGUGGAGGCGAAGGGAAUCCAGCUGAACACUAACAUUUGCAAUGCCCUUGUCGAUGCUUUCUUGUCAGCCGGAGACCUCCUUUCUGCAAUGACCUUAUACGAGACUAUGGAAAGCAUGGACGCUUGCAGUCCCAAUUCCGCUACAUAUGAUGCAUUCAUCUGUGCAUUUUCGCUGCUUGGAAGUGGCCAUGCUAUGAUGAGCUGGUAUGUAGCUGCAAAGAACGCCGGGUUUACGCCAAGUAUUCAAGCUUUUGAAUCUUUGAUCACUGGGUUUGUUCGGUUGAACAUGCUAGACGAUGCCAAAACGGUGUUUGAGGAAAUGAUUGCCUUGGAGAUUAAGCCAAACUCUACUAUUUUGGAGGCCAGCCUUGAGAUUCUCUCUAGAAAGGAGGAGACCAGCAGAGUAGGAGACUUUUUAAAACGUGCAAGGGAUGGCAAUUGGGAGUUGAACAAAGCCACAGUUGUGAGGUUGACAAGAAUAUGCCUAGAUGGAGGGGUAAUAGAUGAAAUGGAGCAGCUGCUUGCCCUAAUACAAAAGGGAACACACUUGAAUUCUGAAACACAACUGCACCAUGGAAUUAUCAGGUUCUAUGCUAAUGCAGAUCGAUUAGCGGAUAUGGAGGAUGCAAUUUAUCGGAUGUUGGACAAUGGUGUGAUGUUUACGUGCCCGGAGGAUGUUGAUGUCAUAAUCUGUUGUUAUUUUCGUCACAGGGAAUUUGAUAGGUUGGAUCUCUUUUUGAAUCGCAUCCGAAGUUUGUUCAAGCUCAAUAGGUCUACAUAUGACAUACUGGUUGCUGGAUACCGAAAGUUUGAUUUACAUGAAAGACUUGAUUCAACCAUAGCUGAUAUGAUGAGGGAAGCUGGAUUUGCAUGAGAUCACAAAGAACUAUCUGUGCACCAUGACUUUCCACGGUAAGGCCAUCUCCAGCGGAACGUGGAUAUGGGCGUGCAAAACACUGUUUGCACUGUAGAGUGCACUGUUUACAGAGCGAAGUUUGAAAUAGGAAGUGAGAUAAGAAGUGUUAUAGAGAGGCUGCUGGAGAUAGCCUAAUAUUUCCAUAGCCUUAAGUGCAUUGAGCCUGAAAAAUGAAAUCCAGGGUGGGAUAUUUUUUAUAACAGUUCAGUUCAAAAUUGUUUGAUCAGUUCUGUGUUUGACUUGGAAAAUAUCUCAGAUUAAGAUACAUUAUCAUGUCAUGGAUGCAUUUGACUUUGAGAAGCCGUAAGCGUGAAAUUACAUGGAUGCUGUGCUCAGGCUGCAGAAGCUGGCAACUGUAUUGACUGGGACAUGUAGAAUAUCAGGGGUGAUCAAUGACUUCAGUUCAUCUAGUUACAUAAGAAAUGUAGAACACAUACAUUAACUAUUGUAUGAAUCUACUACAAAGGUAAACGGAUUUUAAUUUGGAACGGAUGGAGUAUACAAAGGAACUGUUGCUAGAAGAGUUGCAACACAGAAAGAUUGAAAAAAGGACUAACAGACACUAGGCUGCAAACUGUGGGCCAUGAAAAAAAUGGAGAGAUUUGAUGAAUCCAUGUGACAUGCAGCACCAACCAAGUGGUCCACUUUGCACCUGAUGUUCAGAAACAGUAACAGUAACCGGUCACCAGAUCUGGUCUACAGAUCAUGCUCCACCAAAUCUUAUCCGCCAUGAUAAAAAUCCAAGUUGCGUCGAGUGGGCACACAAACACCGCACAGUUUGUUUAUCUAGAAAUUUACAUCUGAUUUUAGGGCAACCAAAGGUAAUCCACAGUAGCUGGUUCUCACAUGCUUGAGAAGAGAAGCAGGAGGAAGAGAACAUAGCUCAUGAAACAUCGCCUGUCUGACUGUCUCUGAUGCGAAGCAGGGAAGGGGAAGGCAACAUGAUGAACAGCUAGCCCAUCUUAAUUUACCAAAAAAAGAAAGAAAGAUGGCAAGACAUUACUAUGGAGUAGUAGUACAUAGAUUAGACGCUCCUACUGUACAACCACGAGUCUUCCAGUGAUCUUGCCUCCGCCGCCGCACCUCCAGGUAACCUCGCCUUGCCCUGCGUCGGCGCCUUCCUCGGCACCGGGGCCCUUGGGCACCGUGACGACGAGCUGGCCGUCGACGUACCCGGCCACCGCCAUGGCCGGACAGGUCGGCUCGGGCAGCCGGGACCGCCACCUGUCGAGCUCCAUGCUGUCGCUGGCGGCGUCGUCGUCAGCGGCCCGUUCGGCGGCUCCGGCCUGCACCACGACCUUGGUGACCCCGGGGUGGAUCCUGACGGUGCGCACCCGCACGGUGGCGGCGGCACGCGCACCGGCGGCCGGCGCCGCGACGAAGUGGAAGGCGUCUGGGCCUUCGAACACCUGGACGUCGGUGUCCGCCGGGAGCGGCAGCUCCAGCACCUUGCUGUACACGUGCGGCAGGCGCCGGAGGUCCUUCUUGCCGCCGGCGGUGGGGGAUGCUGGGUGGAUCCUCAUGUGGUCGCGGGACAGAUCACGACGGUGCAAGUCCAAAAGCGAAGGCUCCUCUCUUCUCGAUCUUUCUCUUGGUUCCUUUCCUUUCGUUGUGUCUCUUGUCUUGUCCUUUGGCUGCUGGUUCUUGGACAGGUUGUUGCUAGGUGAAGACUGAAAGAGCCGGGAGAGGGUGGGGAUUUAUUUAUUAUGGUGUGCCACUGCGGCGCGCGCAAGAGGGAGGCUAACUCGCUAAAGGCGCUGAGAGGUGUCACAAGGUUCUUGACGUGUGGGGAAGGAAGAUAAGCUCAGGACUGAGGAGAGUGAAGAGGAGUAGUCAUCGGAAAAAAAGAAAGGAUGGAGAUGGAGACGGGGACAGAUAGGAAGAAGAGGGCCAGACCGACCGGAGAGGUUUGUGUGUGCGUGUCUUCUCCUGUGCCGGUGGCCGGUGGGGGUGCCUAUGUGCGGCCUGUGUGCUGUUUGUUCCUAGUGGCUGGCGCGCACGGCACGGCACGGCCGGAUCACGGCCACGCCGUCCGUGGGCUCCGGCGGUCUCUCAUCAUCAAGAUAAGGGAGCGGGACUGACGGCAAGGGAAACAUGGGGCUGCCUCCAACGGUUUCAGAAUUCAGAGGCCAAUUAUUCCGCCUCGGCGUCUGCGGGCCAGGGAGUAUGGGCGUCGCUUUGCCAUAUUCACCGCGGCUGCUACCCGCUCAUGAUACGCUACGCUGGGAGGGACCCCGUCUGGCUGCUUGUGGUGCAGGUAACUGCAAUUCUGCUUCUGCAUGCAUGAGAGGUAAUUCUACCGGUCGGCGGUCGCAGCUGACGUGUGAGUAGUUGCAUGCUGCUGGACUCUGGAGCUGGAUGGACUAGGCGAAGUUGUCUGUUAUUAAGGGUUUUUAGGACUGAUGGAAAGGACACCGGUGCAGCCAGGAGCUUAUCCCAUCUGUAGCGCGAGCGGCGCCGUACAGGUUUUGUUUUGACGCUGCGUCAGCUCACGCUCAUCUCAUACUAUCUGGAUAUGCAUGGGUGAUUGCACGAGCGAUAAGCUUGAAAAGUCUAUUUCCCUCCUGGGUUUUAGAAUAAACUCGAGGAUUACAAUGCCUGGUGGGUUGCCGUUAAGUUGCUCCUCCUUGCUGUGGAUGAGGUUUCCCGUUUGUUUCUUC